Acinonyx jubatus (cheetah) is the source of this 2184-nucleotide long non-coding RNA. RefSeq lists it as uncharacterized. The record is from RefSeq and is a predicted model, not a curated record. NCBI's taxonomy places the organism in Eukaryota, Metazoa, Chordata, Mammalia, Carnivora, Felidae. The transcript has 3 exons.
AUCUGAAAGCUCGCGCAGGUUCUGGAACUACCAGCAGAUGGCACAAGCACCUAUUUUAUAGUCAGCAGGAAGCCUUUCAUUAGCAGGAAAUAACCUAAAAUGGAAUUUUUCUCUUUGCUUAUUAAUUCUUCAUGCACUGAAAACAUAAAGACUUUACUGGCACUAGCAUCUAAAACUAAAACGUAGAAGUUGUAAUACUUGUGUUAGGGUCAUGACAGGACCAUCCUAUACGACGUCUGACUUUUUGAGUAAAGGAGACCUUGGCUCUCUGGUCCAAUUCCUGUAUUUAAUAGCCAAGGAGACUGAGGUCCUUAACCUUGAAUUAAGGACACCAGCUGGGGAGCUGAUGAGAAUCCCGGUCACAUCGCGGAGUCCAGCCUUCCCUGACUCUGCAGUGCCUCCUCUCAUCCGAAUGCCGUUUUCGCCGCAUAAUGACAAUUUGGGGGUGGUAAAGCCUCAUCGAAGCCAACAGAUGCCUUUCAGCUGGUGUUUAUCUGAGGAGGUUUUUCGGUUUUCCCGCAAGGGAUCCAUCUUCCCAGAGCGAUGGCAUCGUCCGGGAGAACGGGAUCUCCUUCUGUCUCCUUCUCUACCGUUUUCUUACAGCCUCUGUUCUCAGCCGGGAACGGGCGAUACCGUUUUGCCAAACGCUGUCUUCCCAGCCUCUGGCUGUUUCUGCAUUGGAAGGAAAGGGAUUUUCCAACACAUGUGGUUGAUUCUAGGAAGACGUUUCCGAUAGAGUCAACGAAUGCCAUACUAACAGGAACGAUGGAGGCGAGCUCACUGCAGUUGUGGUUACGAAAUGCCAAUGGGAUGUACACACCACCCUUCAAAAGAGGAGGCUGAUGUGAAGUUGUGUGAUGACAUCGUAGAAGAAAAGGGCGAUGAGGGCUUGUGUUCGGAAAGAACGCGAUGUGCCCCAAAGAGUCACCUCACCUGCCCAUGACAAGGACAGAAAAUUGAUAUGGCAGUCGUGGACUUUUCAAAGACGGGACAUUUAUCUUGUAAAUUACACGCCUUCUUUGUGUUCAUGUUGCCAAAUGGCUUGAAAACGGUCUGAAGGCUCCUAAAUGAUUUAUGCCAUAAGUAACCUAUUACGGGCUUUUGCCGAAAAGCUGAGGAAAGAGAACUUUUUCUGGAAGACCAAGAUUUUCCACAAGAUUGUUUCCUUUCCUCAACAGACCGGAAAUACCUGGCAAAUACCCGUGUUACACGCCGGCCCCCCUCCUGCCAGCUCUGGAGCAGCCAGCCACAGUCCAGCCCGUUAGUGGCACUCUGGUGGCAAACAGGGAUUCUGAAGAGCUCCUCCUCCAUUCGGGUCAGCUGUGACGAUGGGUCUUAGGAAACUCUCGUUUUCCCAGCAUUUUGUUUCUCAUCGUGGGUAGGAAGUGUGAGCUGGGCAGCCGUGCCUCCUGCUAAUUGUAACAAGCACAAAGGCCGAGGGAGCAGAAGCGGUGAGAACAGCAGAGUCAGCUCCGAUGGGGGAGACACCUGGCUUCCGCCUUCUGCUGAAGCCUGUCUCCGGUGCAGCUGGGAUCAUCGCCGGAGUCUGAUUCACACGUCAGCACCUGAAUCGGCAGCUUCAUCCUGUCAGGAGAGAAUUGCAACAAGAAUUGUAUUCCGAACGAUAGGCAAAGCCAUGAUUCAUACUUAAUUCUUAUAAUGAAGUUUGUAGACUGAGAGCUAGUCAAUCUAAGCAUUACGGGACAAAGGGAAAGGCAACUAGGAUCUGACACCUAUGUGGAACUAACGACUUCGGUCUUCGAGCGAGAGACAUCAUCCUUCCUGUGGGAGAGAAGAGAGGGCCUCCCGCUUACCCAAGCUCAUGUAGAAAUACAUGGCACUAGCAUUUAGAGCAAACCCUUGGCCAUAAGAGAGGCUAAGAUGACUAAUAUGAAAGCAUGGAUGAAAUGAAGAGCAGAUAAAGCAUGAAGAAGAUUAAUAAAUUACUAAUGACAAAAAUUAUUCUAUUUACUCCUGAACUGUCCUACCAAAGUAAAAACAAAAUUCAAUCCUAGAUGUCUCAGAAAAUUCAGAAAGUAGGACCUUAUGUAACAUCGGGUGAUGGUUCACUAUACACCAGGUAAUGUGUGCUCUGGGAUUAUUAAAGAGCUUCUACUUAACUUUUUUUAAUAUUUAUUUAUUUGAGAGAGAGAGAGAGCAAGGGAGGGGCAGAGAGAGAGACAC